GAUGAAAGAGGGCGGAGGGAGGAAUACAUGCAAGUCGAGCGAACGGACGAGAAGCUUGCUUCUCUGAUGUUAGCGGCGGACGGGUGAGUAACACGUGGAUAACCUACCUAUAAGACUGGGAUAACUUCGGGAAACCGUAGCUAAUACCGGAUAAUAUUUUGAACCGCAUGGUUCAAAAGUGAAAGACGGUCUUGCUGUCACUUAUAGAUGGAUCCGCGCUGCAUUAGCUAGUUGGUAAGGUAACGGCUUACCAAGGCAACGAUGCAUAGCCGACCUGAGAGGGUGAUCGGCCACACUGGAACUGAGACACGGUCCAGACUCCUACGGGAGGCAGCAGUAGGGAAUCUUCCGCAAUGGGCGAAAGCCUGACGGAGCAACGCCGCGUGAGUGAUGAAGGUCUUCGGAUCGUAAAACUCUGUUAUUAGGGAAGAACAUAUGUGUAAGUAACUGUGCACAUCUUGACGGUACCUAAUCAGAAAGCCACGGCUAACUACGUG
RNAcentral lists this ribosomal RNA (497 nucleotides) under uncultured bacterium. Its description in RNAcentral is "partial 16S ribosomal RNA". It matches the Rfam family "Bacterial small subunit ribosomal RNA", at positions 28 to 507 of the family's 1533-position model. The record is from RNAcentral.